AUUGAACGCUGGCGGAAUGCUUUACACAUGCAAGUCGAACGGCAGCACGGACUUCGGUCUGGUGGCGAGUGGCGAACGGGUGAGUAAUGUAUCGGAACGUGCCCAGGCGUGGGGGAUAACGUAGUGAAAAUUACGCUAAUACCGCAUACGAUCUAUGGAUGAAUGCGGGGGAUCGCAAGACCUCGCGCGAUUGGAGCCGCCGAUAUCAGAUUAGGUAGUUGGUGGGGUAAAGGCCCACCAAGCCAACGAUCUGUAGCUGGUCUGAGAGGACGACCAGCCACACUGGAACUGAGACACGGUCCAGACUCCUACGGGAGGCAGCAGUGGGGAAUUUUGGACAAUGGGCGAAAGCCUGAUCCAGCCAUUCCGCGUGCAGGAUGAAGGCCCUCGGGUUGUAAACUGCUUUUGUACAGAACGAAAAGGUUUCUACUAAUACUAGGAGCUCAUGACGGUACUGUAAGAAUAAGCACCGGCUAACUACGUGCCAGCCGCCGCAGUAA
This 500-nucleotide ribosomal RNA is filed under the name uncultured bacterium. RNAcentral describes it as "partial 16S ribosomal RNA". It matches the Rfam family "Bacterial small subunit ribosomal RNA", at positions 30 to 523 of the family's 1533-position model. The record is from RNAcentral.